GUAGUCAUAUGCUUGUCUCAAAGAUUAAGCCAUGCAUGUCUAAGUAUAAGCAAUUAUACCGCGAAACUGCGAAUGGCUCAUUAUAUAAGUUAUCGUUUAUUUGAUAGUACCUUACUACUUGGAUAACCGUGGUAAUUCUAGAGCUAAUACAUGCUAAAAAUCCCGACUUCGGAAGGGAUGUAUUUAUUAGAUUAAAAGCCAAUGCCCUCUGGGCUCUCUGGUGAUUCAUGAUAACUUCUCGAAUCGCAUGGCCUUGCGCCGGCGAUGGUUCAUUCAAAUUUCUUCCCUAUCAACUUUCGAUGUUUGGGUAUUGGCCAAACAUGGUUGCAAGGGGUAACGGAGGGUUAGGGCUCGACCCCGGAGAAGGAGCCUGAGAAACGGCUACUACAUCCAAGGAAGGCAGCAGGCGCGCAAAUUACCCAAUCCCGACACGGGGAGGUAGUGACAAUAAAUACUGAUACAGGGCUCUUUUGGGUCUUGUAAUUGGAAUGAGUACAAUUUAAAUCCCUUAACGAGGAACAAUUGGGGGGCAAGUUGGUGCCAGCAGCC
RNAcentral lists this ribosomal RNA (549 nucleotides) under uncultured eukaryote. RNAcentral describes it as "SSU rRNA". It matches the Rfam family "Eukaryotic small subunit ribosomal RNA", at positions 20 to 575 of the family's 1831-position model. The record is from RNAcentral.